AUAACUUGAAAAUCAAGUCUAAAUAAAAAAAUCAAUCAAAAAUCAAAACUGAUCAGUUUGAAACCGAACCGAACCGAAAUAAAGCGAUUUGGUUCGAUUUAGUUUUUCACCCAUUUCGAUUCAGUUUGGUUUCUAAAAUAUAUAAUUUGAUUUUUAUAAUUUAGUCGGUUCGGUUCGGUUCGGUUCAAACCGAAUGCUCACCACCCCUAUUUCUACAUUAUUUUAUCAGCACCAUAAGCAGAAAUUUUGCAGCUCUUCACUUUAGAAAGUCCACUUUUGAGGAUCUGAUUCAAUUAAUCUUUUAUCAUCUAAUUAGACAAAAAAUUAUCAGUUUCACGUAUGCUAUUUUUUUACUCAAGUAUCUUUGCUGUUUGCCCUGGCAGAGAAUGAAUUAGCAUUUGAUCUUCUAUACUGCAUCACAUUCAAGCUAAUGGACCAUCAGUGGCUUACCAUGCACGCAUCAUAUAUGGACUUCAAUAUGGUUAUGAAAUCCACACGUCGUCA
Molecule: unclassified non-coding RNA, 504 nt
Filed under: Hevea brasiliensis (rubber tree)
Lineage: Eukaryota; Viridiplantae; Streptophyta; Magnoliopsida; Malpighiales; Euphorbiaceae
Source: RNAcentral